This 512-nucleotide ribosomal RNA is filed under the name Erebia pronoe glottis. RNAcentral's name for it is "partial 16S ribosomal RNA". The record is from RNAcentral. Lineage: Eukaryota; Metazoa; Arthropoda; Insecta; Lepidoptera; Nymphalidae.
GUCUUUUUGAAAUAUAAUUUAAAGUCUAAUCUGCCCACUGAUAAAUAUUAAAGGGCUGCAGUAUUUUGACUGUACAAAGGUAGCAUAAUCAUUAGUUUUUUAAUUGAAAACUUGUAUGAAAGAUUUGAUGAAAUAUUAACUGUCUCUUAUUUUUUUUUUGAAUUUUAUUUUUUAGUAAAAAAGCUAAAAUAAUUUUAAAAGACGAGAAGACCCUAUAGAGUUUUAUAUUUUAUUUUAUUUUAAAUUUAUAUAAAAAUUGAUAUUAAAAUAAAAUUAAAUAUUGUAUUGGGGUGAUAGAAAAAUUUAAAUAACUUUUUUUAAAUAAUAAACAUAAAUGAAUGAUUAAAUGAUCCAUAAAUAAUGAUUAUAAGAAAAAAUUACCUUAGGGAUAACAGCGUAAUGUUUUUUUUUAGGUCAAAUAAAAAAAAAAGUUUGCGACCUCGAUGUUGGAUUAAGAUAAAAUUUAAAUGCAAAAGUUUAAAAUUUUGAUCUGUUCGAUCAUAAAAUCUACA